Long non-coding RNA from Triticum dicoccoides, 2022 nucleotides. RefSeq lists it as uncharacterized. The transcript has 3 exons. The record is from RefSeq and is a predicted model, not a curated record. Lineage: Eukaryota; Viridiplantae; Streptophyta; Magnoliopsida; Poales; Poaceae.
UUGAACAUGAGAACCACUGAAAAGCAUAAAUGCAUUUGACAAAUGGCAUCAAAUAAUUUGAAACAUUGGAUUUUUAUUCACAUGUUGGCUUAUUUAUCCUAUGGUCACUCAAGAUUUAUGCAUCUGACCUUCUAAUUUUUGUUUAUGGUAGAUAAAGUAUGGCUUCAACAUGUGAUCUACAGAUAGAUAGUGUUUUCAAUCAGACCGUUCUUUCCUAUGUAAACCACCAUAAACAAUUGCUAUUUCCUAUGUGCUCAUGUGGCUGCUGAAAUUUCUUCUUCACAUAAUCACAUUCACGUGUAUAGUUUGCUUUCCUUACGCCCAUAGUUUUUUUCAUUCAUGUUCGUGUGCAGGAUUUAUUCAACGCUAGGCUCAUGGUUGAUAGAGUCAAUGAUUAUGAUUCUGGGGAAGUUGUGCCCAAGUCGUGCUCUGUCGGCACAGUCUCUUCCUGCCUCAAGGCCGCCUUGUCUGAUUUGUGCGUGCAAAAUAUACCAUCUGUCUCUUAUUUGCUGCCCUAAAUCCUAUCUCUUUUUGUAAUCUGAAUUGCAGAGCUAUUUAUUGUUGCUUAUAUGUGAUUGAAGGAUCUAAAUUUGACUUUUUUUUAAUUUUGACAAGAUAUGAGAAGAGGUUAGUUCCCUGUUUUCUGCCAUUUAGAUAUCUAUGCUUACUAUUAGUUGUUUCAGAGUACCUCAGUUUGCUCUUGUCUGAUAAAGUCUUUCCAUGCAAUUUUAGGAAUUGUUGAUGCCUUAUAUCAGUUUAUGUUGCUCUGUUAGAAAUUAUAUAUCAAGAACAAUUAGCCAAAGGAUCAAUACUAUCUCUCUCUCUCUCUCUCUCUCUCUCUCUCUUGGUGUCUCUAUUUAGAUUGUGUAGUAAUCAUGUGAUCUGUCAGAAAAUAUUGCCUUGGCAAGUUAGAGGCAUUGAGAGCAGAGAAGAAGACGGUCACCUUGUAAAUUAGCUGCUAUGUUAGCUACGAAUGAGUUUUUAGGUUGGCCAUGUACAUAGAUAGGCUGUUUGGCAUCACUACAAAAAUAAGUCAGGAUAAAAUGCUACAGGAAACUGCCGCUUUAAAUUUUGUCCAUUGUUCCUUGUAUAAUCUUUUCCUAAACUGGACACUAUCGACUUCUCUUAUAUUAUUACUUCAGUUAUUUUCCCUGGUAAGUGUUUAUUACCGAUCUACUGUUCUAUUUGUAUGAUGCAUCUUUUGUUAUCUUAGAGCAAUUGAUUGCCCAGAUUAGUUUCUAGGAUAAUCAGGUAGUAGCUUCUAUUAAGCUGAUCCAUGAAAGGUUAAGUUUCCACUCUUCACCUCUUCGGGCGUUGCAGUACUUUGGCGCACCACAACACCCGACCGCUUCUCCUCUACAUCAUCCACUUCUCGCCCAGGCAUGGCCUUGGUGAGUAAACAACAUGCCUACUACUCUGUGUGCUUGCUCAACCUCUGUUGUGUUGUUGGGCAUCUUGGAAUUUAUUUCGGCAAAUGAAAAGCUUAGUUCUCUUGGUUCACUGAAAAUAUAGCAAAAUCAUGGACGUUGCUUUGGAUAAGGCUAUUAAAGAAAUUAUAGGCCUUGUUAUUCGAAGAAGUGUUACAAUAGUUACCCGAACUAAGGAGCUUAUUCUUAAGGUGAAUGCCAUGGACUAUUUCCCUAAAUGUACAUGUUCAUUAGCCAUUUGUCUUGUUGUAGUCGAAAAGUUUAUAACAUGCUGGUAUAUUUGCCCUGAAGGAUUUGGCAAUGGAAUCUGAUGAUAGUGCAGUAUCUCGCGCUGCACAUUUGAUGGUUGGCAUGCUAGCUAGGAGUCUAGCUCACUUAACUUCCAAGGUAUUUUUGCAUAAGGGUCUUAGAUGUACUUUUGCAGUUGUAGUUACAGUCCCAAGUCCAGCGCGUUGAUUAUUAGAUUCAUUUAGGUUUAGAUUUGAUGUAUGAUGCUAUAUUCAAUUGUCCCGUAUUCUGCUGCUGCAGGAGCCUCUUUGUGUUGUUUUGUCAUAAAUGUGAAUAAAGAAAUUUCUCGUAAACAAACUUCUUGAGU